GACGAACGCUGGCGGCGUGCUUAACACAUGCAAGUCGAACGGCAAGGCCCUGCUUGCGUGCGGUGCCCGAGUGGCGAACGGGUGAGUAACACGUGAGUAACCUGCCCUAGACUUUGGGAUAACUUCAGGAAACUGGGCCUAAUACCGGAUAGGAGCUCCCGCUGCAUGGUGGGGGUGGGAAAGUCUCGGCGGGUGGGGAUGGACUCGCGGCUUAUCAGCUUGUUGGUGGGGUAGUGGCUGACCAAGGCUUUGGCGGGUAGCCGGCCUGAGAGGGUGACCGGCCACAUUGGGACUGAGAUACGGCCCAGACUCCUACGUGAGGCAGCAGUGGGGAAUAUUGCCCAAUGGGCGGAAGCCUGAUGCAGCAACGCCGCGUGCGGGAUGACGGCCUUCGGGUUGUAAACCGCUUUCGCCUGUGACGAAGCGUGAGUGACGGUAAUGGGUAAAGAAGCACCGGCUAACUACGUG
RNAcentral lists this ribosomal RNA (468 nucleotides) under uncultured bacterium. RNAcentral describes it as "partial 16S ribosomal RNA". It matches the Rfam family "Bacterial small subunit ribosomal RNA", at positions 28 to 507 of the family's 1533-position model. The record is from RNAcentral.